Molecule: long non-coding RNA, 1505 nt
Organism: Phyllopteryx taeniolatus (common seadragon)
Lineage: Eukaryota; Metazoa; Chordata; Actinopteri; Syngnathiformes; Syngnathidae
Exons: 2
Source: RefSeq, a predicted model, not a curated record
CUCUCCUCCCAACUGAGCUUGAGUGUGGACAAGAAGAAACAGGACUCCUCCAGUCUCAGCCACCCCGGGGGGCACUGGUUGCAGCAGUAACCUAAAGCGGGGUACACACUACUCAGUGGAAACAUGGCCAAAGUAAAGAGUCAAGGACAGGAACAACCCCGUGAUGCAGAAGAUGCGCCGAUACAUUUAAGUGUUCACCAGGGAGGACGAAAAGGAGGAAACGGAAGGAUCGGAGAAGGCCGACGUGAACCCAAAGGUCAGACCGAGAAAUAGGAGCUCCAUGGCAGGCUGAAAGAUGAUUCAUGAAAGUGCUUUGGGUGCCGACAUGGAGGUGGAAGAACCUGAGGAUGAGAAAGACAUUCAAUUUGUCUCGACAAAGCCAAUGAAAUGAAUGACUUCACGUUCUAUCCUUUUAGUCUUUAUCGUAAAAUGGUGCAAUUCUUCUUGCAGUAUAACAUGGUAUAAAGGAGUGUCUUAUUUUUAUUGCAACAUACAGUAUUAACAGGUGGCAGAAAUAUACAUUCAUUCAUUUAUUCAUUCAUCUUCCGUACCGCUUAUCCUCCCUCACUAGGGUCGGAGGCGUGCUGGAGCCUAUCUCAGCUAUCUUCGGGCGAGAGGCGGGGUACACCCUGAACUGGUCGCCAGCCAAUCGCAGGGCACAUAUAAACAAACAACCAUUCGCACUCACACAGAAAUAUACAGUCCCCUCCAAAAGUAUUGGAACGGCAAUGUCAAUUCCUUUGUUUUUCUUGUAUACUGAAGACAUUUGUGUUCCUGAUCAAAAGAUGAAUAUGAGACAAAAGUUCAGAAUUCCAGCUUUUAUUUCAUGGUAUUUACAGCUAGAUGUGUUAACAACUCAGGAGAAAGCACCUUAUGUUUGAAGCCAGCCACUUUUCAAGUGAGCAAAAGUAUUAGAGUAGACAUUAUUAAAUUAACUUGAAGUGAAUAACAUUUCUGCGACUGACUGGCGACCAGUUCAGGGUAUAGUCCGCCUUUCGCCCGAAGUCAGAUGGGAUAGGCUCCAGCGCCCCACGACCCUAACCAGGAUAAGCGGUGUUGAAAAUGGAUGAAUGGAUGGAUGAAUAACAUUUAAUAUUUGGUGGCAUAACCCUUACUCACAAUAACUGCAUCAAGCCUGCGACCCAUUGACUUGACCAGACUGUUACAUUCUUCAUUUGAAAUGCUUUACCAGGCCUUUACUGCAGCCUCUUUCAGUUCUUGUUUGUUUCUGGGGGUUUCUCCCUUCAGUCUCUUGAGGAGGUAAAAUGCAUGCUCUAUUGGGUUAAGGUCCAGUGAUUGACUUGGCCAGACCUUUGACUUUUUCCCCCUGAUGAAGUCCUUUGUUGUGUUAGCAAUGUGUUUUGGGUCGUUGUCUUGUUGCAUCCAAUUAGUUUGGAUACAUUUUUCUCUAAAUCGCCAGACAAAAUGGUUUUGUAGACUUCAGAAUUCAUUCUGCUGCUAUCAUCAUGAGUUACAUCAUCAAUAAAGACCAAGCCAUCACAUUA